GCAGUCGAGCGGUAAGGCCUUUCGGGGUACACGAGCGGCGAACGGGUGAGUAACACGUGGGUGAUCUGCCCUGCACUUCGGGAUAAGCCUGGGAAACUGGGUCUAAUACCGGAUAUGACCUCAGGUUGCAUGACUUGGGGUGGAAAGAUUUAUCGGUGCAGGAUGGGCCCGCGGCCUAUCAGCUUGUUGGUGGGGUAAUGGCCUACCAAGGCGACGACGGGUAGCCGACCUGAGAGGGUGACCGGCCACACUGGGACUGNGACACGGCCCAGNCUCCUACGGGAGGCAGCAGUGGGGAAUAUUGCACAAUGGGCGAAAGCCUGAUGCAGCGACGCCGCGUGAGGGAUGACGGCCUUCGGGUUGUAAACCUCUUUCAGCAGGGACGAAGCGCAAGUGACGGUACCUGCAGAAGAAGCACCGGCUAACUACGUGCCAGCAGCCGCGGUAAUACGUAGGGUGCAAGCGUUGUCCGGAAUUACUGGGCGUAAAGAGUUCGUAGGCGGUUUGUCGCGUCGUUUGUGAAAACCAGCAGCUCAACUGCUGGCUUGCAGGCGAUACGGGCAGACUUGAGUACUGCAGGGGAGACUGGAAUUCCUGGUGUAGCGGUGAAAUGCGCAGAUAUCAGGAGGAACACCGGUGGCGAAGGCGGGUCUCUGGGCAGUAACUGACGCUGAGGAACGAAAGCGUGGGUAGCGAACAGGAUUAGAUACCCUGGUAGUCCACGCCGUAAACGGUGGGCGCUAGGUUGUGGGUUCCUUCCACGGAAUCCGUGCCGUAGCUAACGCAUUAAGCGCCCGCCUGGGG
RNAcentral lists this ribosomal RNA (804 nucleotides) under Rhodococcus sp. 46AAIII. RNAcentral describes it as "bacterial SSU rRNA". It matches the Rfam family "Bacterial small subunit ribosomal RNA", at positions 57 to 878 of the family's 1533-position model. The record is from RNAcentral. Lineage: Bacteria; Bacillati; Actinomycetota; Actinomycetes; Mycobacteriales; Nocardiaceae.